Molecule: long non-coding RNA, 493 nt
Organism: Asparagus officinalis (garden asparagus)
Lineage: Eukaryota; Viridiplantae; Streptophyta; Magnoliopsida; Asparagales; Asparagaceae
Exons: 3
Source: RefSeq, a predicted model, not a curated record
AGGAUUCAUGGUGUCUUGCAUGGAUAAAAUCUAAAAGGCGUGUUGCUAUUGGCGAUUUAUUCUUAAGAGAUAAACUAGUUGUCUAUGAUGCUGAGAAUAAGCUCGUGGGUUGGAAGGAAUAUAAUUGCUCCUCAAGCAUUAAAGUUGAAGAUGAUACAACGGGCGGAGUUUGUGACAUUAAUGCACACAACUAUACAGCCCCACUCAGCUAAUCGGAAACGGGAAUGUUCACCAUUUUGCUGCUAUUUCCUUUCCCACUGUUUUUAAUGGAUGGUGCCGCUCAAAUAAGUUCGUUUGAUUAUGUUUUUCCCCCUUUCUUUUUGUACACUGAAUUUUCACGUUUAGAGGUUGUUGACAAUUUUUCCAGGAUUGUUUCCGCUCUCAAUAGGAUAGAAAAAAAAGAGCAAGAUUGUUUUUAUGUGUUUUUUAAUGUGUGUACGUGAUAUAUAAGAUUGCAAUGUGGGAGUAUUUGCAAUUCCUUUUUCGCCUGACA